Molecule: transfer RNA, 107 nt
Filed under: Natrinema thermotolerans
Lineage: Archaea; Methanobacteriati; Methanobacteriota; Halobacteria; Halobacteriales; Natrialbaceae
Description: tRNA-Glu
Source: RNAcentral
GCGUUGGUGUAGUCCGGCCAAUCAUGCGGUCCAGGCCGAGAGCUUUGCUCGAGGGCUGGAUCAGGCCUUUCGAGCCGAUGACCUGGGUUCAAAUCCCAGACGGAGCA